RNAcentral lists this ribosomal RNA (319 nucleotides) under uncultured eukaryote. RNAcentral's name for it is "partial 18S ribosomal RNA". It matches the Rfam family "Eukaryotic small subunit ribosomal RNA", at positions 1470 to 1796 of the family's 1831-position model. The record is from RNAcentral.
CCCUUAGAUGUUCGGGGCUGCACACGCGCUACACUGGAGGAAACAGCGUGUAUUGUCCUGGUCCGAAAGGACUGGGUAAACCUGUGAAACUUCUCCGUGCUUGGGAUAGCGGAUUGAAAUUGUUUCGCUUCAACGAGGAAUUCCUAGUAAGCGUAAGUCAUAAGCUUGCGCUGAUUACGUCCCUGCCCUUUGUACACACCGCCCGCCGCUCCUACUGAUUGGGUGAUCCGGUGAGCUGUUCGGCCAUAGCAAUGUUUCUUGAGCAGGGCAAUGAAUGUUUCGCAAACCUUGCCACUUAGAGGAAGGAGAAGUCGUAACA